GUUGGAAACGACUGCUAAUACCGCAUAAGCCCACGGGUCGGCAUCGACCUGAGGGAAAAGGAGCAAUCCGCUUUGAGAUGGCCUCGCGUCCGAUUAGCUAGUUGGUGAGGUAACGGCCCACCAAGGCGACGAUCGGUAGCCGGACUGAGAGGUUGAACGGCCACAUUGGGACUGAGACACGGCCCAGACUCCUACGGGAGGCAGCAGUGGGGAAUAUUGCACAAUGGGGGAAACCCUGAUGCAGCGACGCCGCGUGGAGGAAGAAGGUCUUCGGAUUGUAAACUCCUGUUGUUGAGGAAGAUAAUGACGGUACUCAACAAGGAAGUGACGGCUAACUACGUGCCAGCAGCCGCGGUAAAACGUA
Molecule: ribosomal RNA, 364 nt
Filed under: uncultured bacterium
Lineage: Bacteria
Description: bacterial SSU rRNA
Rfam family: Bacterial small subunit ribosomal RNA
Source: RNAcentral